CCCUUCCCUUUCAUGAAUAUGACCUACCGAAUUAGACUAUUUACCGGAUUUGUAAUCACUUAAGCAACACGACGGGUGCCACAUGUGGAGCAGGAUCUGCUUACCCUUCCGGAGCACCUGAGAUCACCCCUAGUUUUUGGUGGGGUUCGUGUUGUUUAUUCUUUAGUUUUCUAUGUUGUGUGGUGUGUACUAUUGUUUUUCUGUUUGUCUUUUUUAUUUUUAGCCAUGGCGUUGUCAGUUUGUUUUAGAUUUAUGAGUUUGACUGUCCCUUUGGUAUCUUUCGUCCCUCUUUUAAAAU
Molecule: long non-coding RNA, 298 nt
Filed under: Mytilus galloprovincialis (Mediterranean mussel)
Lineage: Eukaryota; Metazoa; Mollusca; Bivalvia; Mytilida; Mytilidae
Source: RNAcentral